This 119-nucleotide ribosomal RNA is filed under the name Triticum aestivum (bread wheat). RNAcentral also lists the same sequence under 1 other name. Lineage: Eukaryota; Viridiplantae; Streptophyta; Magnoliopsida; Poales; Poaceae. The record is from RNAcentral.
GGAUGCGAUCAUACCAGCACUAAAGCAUCGGAUCCCAUCAGAACUCCGAAGUUAAGCGUGCUUGGGCGAGAGUAGUACUAGGAUGGGUGACCUCUUGGGAAGUCCUCGUGUUGCAUUCC